GGGCGCAGGCCCGGCCCAGGGCCCCGCCACCCCCGCCCCAGCACCUCAGCCCACCCCACCCCGCACCUUUCUCUCUUUUUCUCCCCAAAUAACGACAGACCUCCCCAGAGGGCACCCACCCGCCCCGACUCCCGGCUGUCACCCGCAGGGAGGUGCUCUGAUCGGCUGCAGCCCCGCGGAGCGACCCCGACCCCGGGUUGUGUAACCAGCCCCGCUCCGGCUGCGAGCGAAGCCCAUCGCUGUUUACCUUGCGGUGGCGACCUUUGAAGACCACAGCAAAGGCUCCGUGUCCUAUCAGGUCCUUCUUGCUGUACUCAAAGUCCCCCACCACCUCCAUCAUCCCUCAGCGGGGCAUGAAGCCCCGGGAAGGAAAGAAGAUGGAUGCAACACAGCCUUCACUGUCAGCAAGAACCAGCUGGAGAAAGAACCUCCAGGAUAUUGAGCUCUUCCCAAAAGAUCCCAUGAAGACAGAGCCUGCUGACUUGGCUGGCAGAAACAGACACUAACAAGAGGAACCACAACUUUGUGCUCUCUGUUAUAUUAAAGGUUUAAGCCUUUCUUCCA
This is a long non-coding RNA of Colius striatus (speckled mousebird), 564 nucleotides long. RefSeq lists it as uncharacterized. The record is from RefSeq and is a predicted model, not a curated record. The transcript is spliced from 2 exons. Lineage: Eukaryota; Metazoa; Chordata; Aves; Coliiformes; Coliidae.